ACAUCGGUGGCUCAGUGGCAGAAUUCUUGCCUUCCACGCGGGAGACCCAGGUUUGAUUCCUGGCCAGUACA
Molecule: transfer RNA, 71 nt
Filed under: Loxodonta africana (African savanna elephant)
Lineage: Eukaryota; Metazoa; Chordata; Mammalia; Proboscidea; Elephantidae
Rfam family: tRNA
About the family: Transfer RNA (tRNA) molecules are approximately 80 nucleotides in length. Their secondary structure includes four short double-helical elements and three loops (D, anti-codon, and T loops). Further hydrogen bonds mediate the characteristic L-shaped molecular structure. tRNAs have two regions of fundamental functional importance: the anti-codon, which is responsible for specific mRNA codon recognition, and the 3' end, to which the tRNAs corresponding amino acid is attached (by aminoacyl-tRNA synthetases). tRNAs cope with the degeneracy of the genetic code in two manners: having more than one tRNA (with a specific anti-codon) for a particular amino acid; and 'wobble' base-pairing, i.e. permitting non-standard base-pairing at the 3rd anti-codon position.
Source: Rfam by way of RNAcentral